UACGUAGGGGGCAAGCGUUGUCCGGAUUCAUUGGGCGUAAAGAGCGUGUAGGCGGCCAGGUAGGUCGGUUGUGAAAACUGGAGGCUCAACCUUCAGAGGUCGACCGAAACCAUCUGGCUAGAGUCCGGGAGAGGAGAGUGGAAUUCCUGGUGUAGCGGUGAAAUUCGUAGAUAUUAGGAAGAACACCGGUGGCGAAGGCGGCCCACUGGCUCGACACUGACGCUGAGGUGCGAAAGCGUGGGGAGCAAACAGG
This 253-nucleotide ribosomal RNA is filed under the name uncultured bacterium. RNAcentral's name for it is "partial 16S ribosomal RNA". It matches the Rfam family "Bacterial small subunit ribosomal RNA", at positions 524 to 776 of the family's 1533-position model. The record is from RNAcentral.